AUGGCUCAGAUUGAACGCUGGCGGCAUGCCUUACACAUGCAAGUCGAACGGCAGCACGGGAGCAAUCCUGGUGGCGAGUGGCGAACGGGUGAGUAAUACAUCGGAACGUGCCCUGUUGUGGGGGAUAACUAGUCGAAAGAUUAGCUAAUACCGCAUACGACCUGAGGGUGAAAGCGGGGGACCGUAAGGCCUCGCGCAAUAGGAGCGGCCGAUGUCUGAUUAGCUAGUUGGUGGGGUAAAAGCUCACCAAGGCGACGAUCAGUAGCUGGUCUGAGAGGACGAUCAGCCACACUGGGACUGAGACACGGCCCAGACUCCUACGGGAGGCAGCAGUGGGGAAUUUUGGACAAUGGGGGCAACCCUGAUCCAGCAAUGCCGCGUGUGUGAAGAAGGCCUUCGGGUUGUAAAGCACUUUUGUCCGGAAAGAAAUGGCUCUGGUUAAUACCUGGAGUCGAUGACGGUACCGGAAGAAUAAGCACCGGCUAACUACGUGCCAGCAGCCGCGGUAAUACGUAGGGUGCGAGCGUUAAUCGGAAUUACUGGGCGUAAAGCGUGCGCAGGCGGUUUUGUAAGACAGGCGUGAAAUCCCCGGGCUCAACCUGGGAAUUGCGCUUGUGACUGCAAGGCUAGAGUGCGUCAGAGGGGGGUAGAAUUCCACGUGUAGCAGUGAAAUGCGUAGAGAUGUGGAGGAAUACCGAUGGCGAAGGCAGCCCCCUGGGACGUGACUGACGC
Molecule: ribosomal RNA, 732 nt
Filed under: Cupriavidus sp. 110518_136_C_D10
Lineage: Bacteria; Pseudomonadati; Pseudomonadota; Betaproteobacteria; Burkholderiales; Burkholderiaceae
Description: bacterial SSU rRNA
Rfam family: Bacterial small subunit ribosomal RNA
Source: RNAcentral